UACGGAGGAUGCAAGCGUUAUCCGGAUUCACUAGGUUUAAAGGGUGCGUAGGCGGAAUGAUAAGUCAGUGGUGAAAUCUUACGGCUCAACCGUGAAAUAGCCAUUGAUACUGUCGUUCUUGAGUACGGUUGAGGUAGGCGGAAUGAGUAAUGUAGCGGUGAAAUGCUUAGAUAUUACUCAGAACACCGAUUGCGAAGGCAGCUUACUAAGCCGUUACUGACGCUGAGUCACGAAAGCGUGGGGAGCGAACAGG
Molecule: ribosomal RNA, 253 nt
Filed under: uncultured bacterium
Lineage: Bacteria
Description: partial 16S ribosomal RNA
Rfam family: Bacterial small subunit ribosomal RNA
Source: RNAcentral